RNAcentral lists this long non-coding RNA (2947 nucleotides) under Sus scrofa (pig). Its description in RNAcentral is "lncRNA (ENSSSCG00035035709.1)". The record is from RNAcentral. Lineage: Eukaryota; Metazoa; Chordata; Mammalia; Artiodactyla; Suidae.
AGAGUACAAAUAUUUUCAAUUAUAUUAGCAAGUGCAUUUUUGUAGUCAAUAGGAAUCCAUGGAACAGAAGAGAAGAAAAUUCUUGUUCCAUUAAACAGUUCUUAUUCACUAAACAUGCCCAUUCCAUAUAUGGUAUCUUUUCUACCAUCUUGUCUUCCAAACUCCCUAAAACCAGAAAGUAAAUUUACCAAGAUAAGUUGCAUAAAUAAUAUUGGAACUAGAUAGUAAUGUCAUCUAAUGACUGACAGUCCCAUUCAUAAGGGCCCACUGUCUGUAAUACUUGCAGGCAAGUAUUGACUGCAGGGGCUGGAAUCCCUGGAAAUCUUCAGAACUUAAAUUGGUGUGCUGGUCUCCUAAUGAGAAAGAAGCAAGAAAUGAUAAUUUUCAGAUAAAUUAUUAGCAUAUUUUUAUAUGCUCGCUGAUAUUCCCAGGGAAUUUCCGCAUGUCACAGGUGCGACCAAAAAAGAAAAAUCACUCCAAUCCUUCUGCUUAAAUUUGAGCCUGUAGAAAUUCUAGUUCUCAAAUCAUUUCUUAGGGUGAUUGAAAUGUAGGACAUUUGUUCCUCAUAAUUGGAUUAUGUUAGAAGAUCAAAAAUAUGAAAAUCAAAAUGAAUAUGAACAAAUUCAAAGGUUGUAGCUGCCAUCACAGAUUCUUGGCCAUGCAAGUUAAAAUGUAUAUAACAGUAAGAGAACAACAUUGGCAGCAAGUCCUACAAGUCAUGGUAAUCCAUAUAUUCAUCAAAACGUGAUAAUAUUUGUAGUUGGAGUUUUAUAAACUUUAGCUUUUAAAAUUUCUAGCACUGUAGAUUUAAAUUUGCAAAAUCUACACUGUAUUAGCUUUUCCUUUUGCAUUUUUCAUGAAGAUUUUUGUGUAGACAAAACAUAGCUUUUAUUUUGAAUUGCAGUUUUAUGUACAUUAUAAUAUUUAAGUCAUUUAAAUAAAGAACAUAUGCGAUUUUAAAUUCUAUUGCACCAAAGGGAUGUGGAAUUUAUUUAAAUUAAUAUUUGAGUUCAAACAUGUUAUGAAUUAAAUUCAUUGGGGGGAUAACAAAGUGAAACAUUUUAGGAAGCAUUCAAAGGAGAAAAAAGUGACAUUGAGCCAUUUCAUAACCACUACUGUAUUUGACAUCAAGAUUGAAGAAGGUAUAAUGUUCUCAAAAUGAUAACACACUUUGAGUCCUAUAGUCUCUCUAAUGUUAAACAAAAAUAACUUCAGCAAAGAUUCUAGAAUUAGACUUCAUACUAGUUCUACCAGUUUCUAAGUGUGUGAUGUAGACCAAGUAAUUUAACUUGCCUGAGAUUUAGUUUCUUCAUUUAUAAAGUAGCACUUAUCUCAGAUUAUUCAUAAGAGGUAACAAACAUAGGCAUUUAAAAUGUGAUUGAUUCAGGCCAAGUGAAAUCUGUCCUCAAUGAAACUGCAUACCUUCUUUUUCUCAUAUUUUCUAACAAGCUUAUUAAUUUUCUUCAUUUUUAUUCUCCGGCACUUCAGAACUUCAUUGUAAUUUUACACACCCAUUGCUUUAAUAGCUGGUAAUGGUUAAUUCCAUCCCUGCUGUCUUCUCUUCUUUAUAUUGUACAACCUUCUUUAUUCACCCUCCAGUGAUUUUAUAAAUUCCUAACUUAUAAAAGUAUACCUGUCAUGUGGUGAGCAUUUAGUAACCACUAAGUGAAGAAACAAAUAUCAUCAUUAUUUUUAAGUCCAGUGCAGGAUUAUGCCUUUUAAUAUCUCUUAAACCUAAAUAUUUAUGAUCAAAAAAGUGUAUUCAUUGAAGAAAUUUUACAGUAGUACCCUAAAUUAUUCCUAGUCAAAAUGCUGUCUGUGGACCAGAAGCAUUAGCAUCACAUGGAAGCUUGUUAUAAAGGCAAUCAGGUCCCACCCUAGAAGUAAUGAAGUGUCAGAAUCUGCAUUUGCACAAAUUUCCCUUAAUGAUUCAUGCACAGUUAACCUUUGAACAACAUGAGUUUGAACUGCAUAGGUCCACUUAUACGUGAUUUUUUUUUUUCAAAAAGCAUAGUACCUAUUAAAAUUUGAGGACUGCUCUAAAACCUUUUCCUCUAAUUAUAGCCUCCAUUAGUAAUCAUUUAAUCCAUUAAUUCAACAGAUAUUUAGUAAGUGCCCAGUUUGGUUUCUUGAAAUUCUUGCAUUCUAAUGGUUUGAGGUUAUGGUCAAUUGCAAACAGGCAAAGUUCAAUUUGGAGAGACUGUACUGAGAUCUUGGAAGAUAAGUUAAUAUCUUAGUUUGGGCAAAGCAAGGGCUCACAGAAGCCAUAAAGAAAACUAAGGAAGGGCAGUAAUGUGUCUUUGGUUCAUAGAAAGUAUGACCCAUUGUACUCACAAGUACACUGAAAGCUUCAGGAACAACUACUAUAAGGAGGUGACACUAAAUAUGAUCUUUGUACUUUUUGCCCUAGAAUAGCUCUGUGAACACCUGAGAAGGAUUUUAAAGAUGCUGAAAUGAAGGUACAUGGAGAGGAAAAUAUUCAUGUUUUAGAGGAUUCAUUAUUUGACCAGAGAGCUCCUUUAUGAAAAUGACUUUGUGUAUUUAGAAUAAUUUUACUUAUAACCUGUGACUAAAUAAUUUUAUUUCAGGAGCUGGUUAUUUGUCAUAGUAUGUAACUUUAAAGAAUGAAACUAUAAAAUUUUCACAAAACUCUAUAUUGCUUGGGGGUUCCUGUUCUGGCUAAGGGAGUUACAAACUUAAUUAGUGUCCUUGAGGAUGCAGGUUCGAUCCCUGGCCUUGCUCAUAAGGUUAAGGAUCAAACAUUGCUGUGAGCUGUGGUGUAGGUCACAGAUGCUGCUUGGAUCCUGCAUUGCUAUGGCUGUGGUGUAGACUGGUAGCUGCAGCUCCAGUUAGACCCCUAGCCUGGGAACUUCCAUAUGCUGCAGGUGUGGCGCUAAAAAAGAAAAAAAGAAUAAGAAAAAAAAGGAAAAAAAAAAAGAAAAAAAAA